GAUGAACGCUAGCGGCAGGCUUAACACAUGCAAGUCGAGGGGCAGCAAGGGUAGCAAUACCUGUUGGCGACCGGCAAACGGGUGCGGAACACGUACACAACAUACCUUUUACUGGAGCAUAGCCCGUUGAAAAGCGGAUUAACACUCCAUAAUAUAGCAGAGUGGCAUCACUUAGUUAUUAAAAUUAUUGGUAAGAGAUUGGUGUGCGUCCUAUUAGCUAGNGGUAGGGUAACGGCCUACCAAGGCGACGAUAGGUAGCUGGUCUGAGAGGAUGAUCAGCCACACUGGGACUGAGACACGGCCCAGACUCCUACGGGAGGCAGCAGUGGGAAUAUUGGACAAUGGGCGCAAGCCUGAUCCAGCAAUGCCGCGUGAGUGAGGAAGGCCUUAGGGUUGUAAAGCUCUUUCGCACGCGACGAUGAUGACGGUAGCGUGAGAAAG
This 441-nucleotide ribosomal RNA is filed under the name uncultured bacterium. Its description in RNAcentral is "bacterial SSU rRNA". It matches the Rfam family "Bacterial small subunit ribosomal RNA", at positions 28 to 488 of the family's 1533-position model. The record is from RNAcentral.